AGAGUUUGAUCCUGGCUCAGGACGAACGCUGGCGGCGUGCCUAAUACAUGCAAGUCGAGCGGACAGAAGGGAGCUUGCUCCCGGAUGUUAGCGGCGGACGGGUGAGUAACACGUGGGUAACCUGCCUGUAAGACUGGGAUAACUCCGGGAAACCGGAGCUAAUACCGGAUAGUUCCUUGAACCGCAUGGUUCAAGGAUGAAAGACGGUUUCGGCUGUCACUUACAGAUGGACCCGCGGCGCAUUAGCUAGUUGGUGAGGUAACGGCUCACCAAGGCGACGAUGCGUAGCCGACCUGAGAGGGUGAUCGGCCACACUGGGACUGAGACACGGCCCAGACUCCUACGGGAGGCAGCAGUAGGGAAUCUUCCGCAAUGGACGAAAGUCUGACGGAGCAACGCCGCGKGAGUGAUGAAGGUUUUCGGAUCGUAAAGCUCUGUUGUUAGGGAAGAACAAGUGCAAGAGUAACUGCUUGCACCUUGACGGUACCUAACCAGAAAGCCACGGCUAACUACGUGCCAGCAGCCGCGGUAAUACGUAGGUGGCAAGCGUUGUCCGGAAUUAUUGGGCGUAAAGGGCUCGCAGGCGGUUUCUUAAGUCUGAUGUGAAAGCCCCCGGCUCAACCGGGGAGGGUCAUUGGAAACUGGGAAACUUGAGUGCAGAAGAGGAGAGUGGAAUUCCACGUGUAGCGGUGAAAUGCGUAGAGAUGUGGAGGAACACCAGUGGCGAAGGCGACUCUCUGGUCUGUAACUGACGCUGAGGAGCGAAAGCGUGGGGAGCGAACAGGAUUAGAUACCCUGGUAGUCCACGCCGUAAACGAUGAGUGCUAAGUGUUAGGGGGUUUCCGCCCCUUAGUGCUGCAGCUAACGCAUUAAGCACUCCGCCUGGGGAGUACGGUCGCAAGACUGAAACUCAAAGGAAUUGACGGGGGCCCGCACAAGCGGUGGAGCAUGUGGUUUAAUUCGAAGCAACGCGAAGAACCUUACCAGGUCUUGACAUCCUCUGACAACCCUAGAGAUAGGGCUUUCCCUUCGGGGACAGAGUGACAGGUGGUGCAUGGUUGUCGUCAGCUCGUGUCGUGAGAUGUUGGGUUAAGUCCCGCAACGAGCGCAACCCUUGAYCUUAGUUGCCAGCAUUYAGUUGGGCACUCUARGGUGACUGCCGGUGAYAAACCGGAGGAAGGUGGGGAUGACGUCAAAUCMUCAUGSCCCUUAYGRSCUGGGCUACACACGUGCUACAAUGGACAGAACAAAGGGCUGCGAGACCGCAAGGUUUAGCCAAUCCCACAAAUCUGUUCUCAGUUCGGAUCGCAGUCUGCAACUCGACUGCGUGAAGCUGGAAUCGCUAGUAAUCGCGKAUCAGCAUGMCGCGGUGAAUACGUUCCCGGGCCUUGUACACACCGCCCGUCACACCACGAGAGUUUGCAACACCCGAAGUCGGUGAGGUAACCUUUAUGGAGCCAGCCGCCGAAGGUGGGGCAGAUGAUUGGGGUGAAGUCGUAACAAGGUAGCCGUAUCGGAAGGUGCGGCUG
This 1529-nucleotide ribosomal RNA is filed under the name Shewanella corallii. RNAcentral's name for it is "bacterial SSU rRNA". The record is from RNAcentral. Lineage: Bacteria; Pseudomonadati; Pseudomonadota; Gammaproteobacteria; Alteromonadales; Shewanellaceae.